GGUAUCAGGGUGAAGGAUAAGCUGGGCAGCAAGUUUUGCCGUAAGGACUUUGUGAGACCAAAAGAGUGAAUGAAUACCUAAGCCCUCUUUAAACUUAGGAGAACAAACAGUAGACCAAGAUAGGAGAUGCACACCACAAGUAUUAGGGGAAUGACCCUACAAAAAAGCACAAAAAUAGCGAUCUAGCUUGUGAAAAGAAA
Molecule: long non-coding RNA, 200 nt
Filed under: Elaeis guineensis (African oil palm)
Lineage: Eukaryota; Viridiplantae; Streptophyta; Magnoliopsida; Arecales; Arecaceae
Description: long non-coding RNA (EGUI_LNC012232)
Source: RNAcentral